This is a long non-coding RNA of Bombus huntii, 1047 nucleotides long. RefSeq lists it as uncharacterized. Lineage: Eukaryota; Metazoa; Arthropoda; Insecta; Hymenoptera; Apidae. The record is from RefSeq and is a predicted model, not a curated record. The transcript has 2 exons.
AUAUUCGAAACAAUUUGUGUAUUAUAAAUAUUUUUCAAACAUUUAUUGAUUAUUAUUUAAAUUUGCUACACUGAUGUUUCAUAUGCCUGUUUAUGUCACGUGAGAGAAGGUCUGAUAAAAUUAUUUGCCAUUUCUAAUCUAUAUCUCAAUUUUGAAAUUAUCGAACAUAUACUUGUAUAAUUUAUGAUGUAAUUGUAACUAUAUUUGGUGAAGUUGUAGGAGUGCUACUUCCUCUCUGAUUUUGAUAAUUUUUGAAUAUGUUCAAAAGUGCAACAUUUUGAACAACUUGUUCCUAUACAUAUAACUGGCGGUUAGCUUCAGUUUCUAAGAUAGUCGCAAAAAAAUUUCCACUUCAGUGUAUUUUCGUCUAUAGUUGUGCGUUUUGGUGACAACGUAUACGUCAGAAGAAUGGUUUUAAAUUUCUUAGUGUUUAACAUUUUUUAAAUAUCAUUUGUUAUGUUUAGUAAACUUUUUAAUUCAUGUUUAAUUAUUGGUAAAUGUACAGAUCAAACCUAACCUUUCCGAUAUUGAUGACUUUUUAAUAUGUGAUGAAGCUGACAUAUGAGUAAUGAAUGUGGUAAAUAAGGAACAAUAUUGAUCAUGCUGUAAUAUACAGCAUGCAAAUAAGUAUAUUUGAUUUUUAUUGAAUGACGGAUUUAAAAUAACAAUUAUGUGUCUAAAACCAAUCUCAAUAUAAAUAUACAUCUAUAUACAAAACGUAUGGCUUAGGUCUUAAAUAAAAUUAUUGUACAAUAUACAAUUUCAAGUUUGUGUGUUAGACGCCAUAAAAUACUGUUAAUUAUUAUUCAAGGAAUAGUUAUAUACUAUAUCUAGUAGAUUAAUUAAUUUAUAUAUAAAUCAUUACCAAGCUUGAUUUUACGGAACAUUUGGCAGUUUCUUAGUUCUCGUAAACCAUAAGGGUACAAAAUAUAAUAACCCUAUUACCUCAUUUUUAAAAUUAUGUACAUUAUUAUCAAUUUAUUUUCGGGAAAAUUAAAUGUCUUUAUAAAAAUACAUAGAAAUAAAAGCUCGAUUCGUACUGCAGUA